Molecule: transfer RNA, 82 nt
Filed under: Metschnikowia caudata
Lineage: Eukaryota; Fungi; Ascomycota; Pichiomycetes; Serinales; Metschnikowiaceae
Description: tRNA-Ser
Rfam family: tRNA
About the family: Transfer RNA (tRNA) molecules are approximately 80 nucleotides in length.
Source: RNAcentral
GGAUGUAUGACAGAGAGGUUUAAUGUGUAAUAUUUGAGCUAUUAAGACUUAAAGUCCACGUGUUCGAAUCACGUUGCAUCCG